Long non-coding RNA from Ziziphus jujuba (common jujube), 333 nucleotides. RefSeq lists it as uncharacterized. The record is from RefSeq and is a predicted model, not a curated record. The transcript is spliced from 2 exons. Lineage: Eukaryota; Viridiplantae; Streptophyta; Magnoliopsida; Rosales; Rhamnaceae.
UCCUACUGCACCGGAGAAGUUCAGUACAGGAUCAAAUCCUCCAAAGGAGUUUGUUUUCAAUUCAAUGCCUCCAGUAAUUCCAGCAAAAUCACGCAAGUGUUGUAGUUCCACCUGUUACAACAAUCGCUUUCGAUCUUUUAAGCACUGGGAAUUGCACAGCCAACAACGGUGUUGAGUCCAGGCGCAACAGCUUCUACUGAAACGGUGAUAGAAACCAAAAUGGUCGUAAGCAUAAAGGUUUUGAAUUUAGAUUGCAGGCUGAAAAUUCUGUGUAUGGGAAACUUUUUAUGUGUUGAAUGUUUGAAUACUUUACUUUACAAUUAAACCCACCAA